This 1444-nucleotide long non-coding RNA is filed under the name Apis florea (little honeybee). Its description in RNAcentral is "uncharacterized LOC105735932, transcript variant X1". The record is from RNAcentral. Lineage: Eukaryota; Metazoa; Arthropoda; Insecta; Hymenoptera; Apidae.
AAGAAUUGACCAAGUUGUUGAAGUUGUGGUUGUUGACCUGGAAUCAAAAUUGUUUAAAUUUAUCUCGUUAUUUAAACAGCAGUUUGGCAAAGUCGAUAUUCUAUAUCGAUAAAGUUACGUUAACCUCUUCGAUAUAAGCGUCAAUUUUAAUCGAUAGUUACCAAAUGAGUAUAAGUAUGUACAGCAUUAUCAUAGUUAUAUUAAUAAUAUAAUUUUUUAUUUUUUGAUUAAUUUUUCUAAGUUACUUCUUUUAUUUAUUAGAAAGAAAUUUUAUAUGUUAUAAUACGUUUAUUAUAAAAAAAAUGUUUAAUAUGAAAACGUUACACUUGCUCGGUCGUUAAAUAAUUCACACUAUGCAACAAGUGUCAUAAAAGAGUUUAUAACGAUAGUACAUUUUGAAUGUGAAACAUACCUGUUUGAUAUUGUUCUGGCAUCUUUUGAGGAAAGCUGUUUAAAAGAUCGUAAAGUUGAGUUGCUGAAAGCGGAGGGCCUGCAGGAGCCGGAUGACCAACAUGUAGAUCAGGUAUUUGUUGAUUUAUAAUAUACGGAGUCUGACCAGCUGUACCAGGGAAACCAACGUGCAAUGAACUAUGAAGAUUAGUUUGCAUCGGUAGGUUGGGCUGUCCGAGUUGAAUGUUUGUUCCGAUGAGGCCUAUAUUCGACGCUGGAUGAUUAUUUAAAUAAACAUCAUUUGUUUGUAAGUCAGGAUUCACCAAUGUUGAAAGAGUUGCAAAAUCUGGAGGCAAGAAUGUCGGUAAAACGGUCUGAUAUUCUUUUUGACUAAUAUCAUUGCUUUCAGUUACUUCGUAAUUAUGCGCUGGAGUGGGACUCGUUACAGUUUUCUGCGGUGUUAAACUCGUGCUAAUAGUAGCAAGAUCAAAAUUUGAAUCUAACCAUGUGGAUUGAUUUUGUAAGCAGCAUCAGUUGUUUGUUGACGUGAAUUUUCUUCUAUAUUCGCUUCAUUAUUGAAAGGCUUAUCCAUGGGACUCAGAUUAGGCGCAGGAAUCGUAUGAAUUGGUCCCUUGUCAUCAUCGACACCACCUCUAUGAGUUGGUGGCAAAACAGCAGCUUCCGGUCUGUAUUCAGGACUAUAUUCCGGCAUUUUAUUUACGAUGGCACAUUGAACAUCGGAGGUCGACGAAUUCUGGAAUAAGGGAUAGAUCGAGAAAAUGUCACGUUCGAUGAAAAAUGAUUUUUUUCUAUAUAUUCUCAAAGAUUCACCUAUAAUUCGACGGUUUGUGAGUUAUUCGUUUCAAUGGGAAAUUUCCAUUGAUAUGCAUUGUAUUUCCCAUCGAAAUUCUAUGAGUAAUUGGCCAUGAUUUCUUGAACAUCAGUUUAGGAGGCUGUGGGGGAGGCAAUGGGGGUCUUCUAAUCUUGUAUCUAGCUUCAACAAGGCAGAUACACGCGAUCAAUAGCCAACACAUCCAAUUUGUCGUCUGAAAUU